Humulus lupulus (European hop) is the source of this 607-nucleotide long non-coding RNA. RefSeq lists it as uncharacterized. The record is from RefSeq and is a predicted model, not a curated record. The transcript is spliced from 2 exons. NCBI's taxonomy places the organism in Eukaryota, Viridiplantae, Streptophyta, Magnoliopsida, Rosales, Cannabaceae.
CCUACAGUUUUUGAUAUUUGUAAGACCAGUGAAGUUUGGAGAAAGUAUAUUUAUUAUAUCACUGGAAUUGAUAUUAUGACUAACUAAUAAUAAUAUAAAUAUUUAUAUUUAUAUUAUUAUCAUUAUAUUGAUUAUUACAACUUUAUGUUACAAAUAUGAUUUCUUUUAUAAAAUGACUAUUUGAAUAUAUACAUCCAUAUACGUAUUGCUAUUGAAGUAUUUUGUUAUUAAUAUCGAAAUAAGUUUAAUUAUAGACGAUAAUUAUUAUUGUUGUUAGGAUUAUAAUUAUUAUUAUCAUUUAUAUAGUUUCUGGUAUGAUUAAUAUACACUAUCAAUAGUGUAUAUUUACGGAUUAGAUAGAAUUUAAUAAAUUAUGUGCCUUGAAUAGGAUUUGUAUGGAUUUGAUUGAUUGACUCUUGGUGAGCCGUUUUAAAAUAAGCUAAGGACCUAAGGUGUGGCUUUAGCUGUUGAGCAACUUGUGGAGCACGGACUCAGUAGCAAUGCAAUAAUAGUUUAGAGUUUUCAUAUGGCUGCCUUAAAUUUAAAGUAUUCAUACGUGUAAUAAUUUCUUCUAAUAAGUUUAUAUAAAAGUUUAAAUUUUUCUGUA